UACGUAGGGUGUGAGCGUUAAUCGGAAUUACUGGGCGUAAAGCGUGCGCAGGCGGUUUUGUAAGCCAGAUGUGAAAUCCCCGGGCUUAACCUGGGAAUGGCAUUUGGGACUGCAAGGCUGGAGUGCGGCAGAGGAGACUGGAAUUCCUGGUGUAGCAGUGAAAUGCGUAGAUAUCAGGAGGAAUACCGAUGGCGAAGGCAGGUCUCUGGGACGGUACUGACGCUGAGACGCGAAAGCGUGGGGAGCGAACAGG
This 253-nucleotide ribosomal RNA is filed under the name uncultured bacterium. RNAcentral describes it as "partial 16S ribosomal RNA". It matches the Rfam family "Bacterial small subunit ribosomal RNA", at positions 524 to 776 of the family's 1533-position model. The record is from RNAcentral.